CACGUAGGGUGCGAGCGUUGUCCGGAAUUAUUGGGCGUAAAGAGCUCGUAGGCGGUGUGUCGCGUCGGCCGUGAAAACCUGCAGCUUAACUGUGGGCGUGCGGUCGAUACGGGCAUCACUGGAGUUCGGCAGGGGAGACUGGAAUUCCUGGUGUAGCGGUGAAAUGCGCAGAUAUCAGGAGGAACACCGGUGGCGAAGGCGGGUCUCUGGGCCGAUACUGACGCUGAGAAGCGAAAGCAUGGGGAGCGAACAGG
This 254-nucleotide ribosomal RNA is filed under the name uncultured bacterium. RNAcentral's name for it is "partial 16S ribosomal RNA". It matches the Rfam family "Bacterial small subunit ribosomal RNA", at positions 524 to 776 of the family's 1533-position model. The record is from RNAcentral.